GUUGGGUUCAGCCUUUGGCCUCUCUUUUCCCGCUAAAUUUCUCUUUGAAUCCGGCUGGAGAAAGAUCUCUGGGUUACACAGAUCUUAAAGAGAGGAAGAGAUUGUAAUAUUCUUCAGGGGAAGCCUUUUGAGAUUGAAAUAUCAUACUUUGAAUGAUAACUCUAUAUCUACCUAUAAUACACUAUGGUUUAAUGUUUGGAAAUCAAACACAGUAUUUAUUUUUCAUGUGAACUACUAAAAGUAAAUCUGCAAGGACUUCUUGCCUGGUGAGUUGCACAGAAAAUGAAAGUCAUUAUCAGUGGCUGUGGCAAGACUGAGGGAACCAUGCCAGAACUUCUGAGGGAAGGAAGAGUGUUUGGGACUGAAAAAUCCUUGUCUGGAUCUAGUCCUCAGCCACUCAGAAGCUGGCAUGCCAUGACUCAAAGAGCUGCCAGUCUGGAAUGAAGACAGUGCCCCGAAACUCCCACCUGAAGCCCGGUGCUUGGAAAAUGCUGCCAGUCCGCAGGAAAAAGUUGUUGCUGCUGCUGUCUGCGACCAAGAGGACACUUUAUUUCUUGAAACAACUGGGGGCAAACUGACUCCCAGAUAAGACUUCAGGCCCUACCCAUGUGAGAAACCAGCCCUGGGAGGUUCCAUGCACAAGAAUACAGGACAAUGAGCAGCUUUGCUCACCUCAUGCAACCUCCAGGGAUUUCAGCUUCCUUUUCUUGGAGGAAGAAAGUGAAGUGACAUGGGGAGUCACUAGGAACAAUGUCUGUCUUACUGUGUUUCAUGGAACCUGGAGGUUCUUUAGAGACCCCUCAGAAGCAGACAUAGUGGUCAGAGUAAAAGCUUAAGAGUAAGCUGUGCCUCUCCCUCCCCAGGCCCCAUCCCAACCACAGAAGUUCCACCUGCGUCAGUUUUAUAUACCAGACUACUGCAUGAAAUUACAUUUUGACAGAGGAUUAUUCUUUAAAAAUAUAUAAAUCUACCAAACUAGGCCAUAUCAAGUUCUGGUCCCUUCUCCAUUAGUGCAGUAAACAAUUCCACCAAGGAAUAAACAGGUCUGAAAGUGCUUUGCAAACUGUAGAAGGGCAUGCAAAUUCUAGGGGCUGUAAUUAGGAUUCUUCUCCCCAGCAGCGGGGAGUAUUUUGUUUGCCUUCUUCCCGAUAGUUUGGUGAGGGACUGAAGUCAUUUGCCCCCAUACCACAAAUGACUCAUUUCAAAUAACAGACCCGGUGACUUACUGAGUCAAGGCCCACCUUUGGGAAUUCCUGGAUCACCUCUUUGAGCUCCCCUGUCAUCCACUUUCCAUUCCAAAUACACCUUGCCUACUUCAGUGGUCACACAAACCCUUCCAAACUCUUAGAUGCUUGAUAUCUAUUGUGUGUUGCACCACCUUUCUUUCUAAGCCAAACCAUGGGAUGUGGGAAACUGGAAAGGAAACUUGAAUUGAUUUGAGUUGACAUGAGGUCACACUAUUUGGAAAAAAUCCAGAAUGCAAUCAGCAGCCUUGGACUGAGAAAGCCCAGGUCUGAGCAUUGUCUUUCCCCCUUAUCAGAGGAUGACUUAACCUCUGGGAGUUUCGGCAAUCCCAGCCACAAAACAAGGGUAAUCAGACCUUUCCCAUAGUUUAUUAUGAGUAGUCAGUGAAAGAAGACAUCAAGACCAUUUCCUGGGGUGCCUGCCACGUGGUGCGACUCAGUGACCUCUAAGAUACCUGAGAACAGGGACAUGUCCUUCUGGGGCACUAGCACAUACUCAGCUCUCAGUCCCUAACAUAUACACUGUGCUCCAUAAAUAAGCAUUACAUAAAUGCAUGAGGGACUGUUAUUUUUUUUUCCUCCCAUCAAAGCACAUAGGGGUGUUUCAGGAAUCACAUGAACUAGUGGGUGGAAACACGUAGAUAACUUGACAGUUUCUAAAUAAAUGCAAGCAAUGACAUCCUAUUUGGGGUGACUGGUUCAGGGACACUUGAGUGUAGCCAGAGCAUUACUCACUCUGGCAGACUAGUGUUCUUUGCUGAAAUAUUGGGGCCUGAUGGCUUCUGACUGGUAGUAAUAAAUCCUGCUCCUCUCAAGCAACGAAAAACCAAAUCUAAACCAAAUGGGAGCAGGAGUGUGAAAUGCAAAGCUGGGAGACCUUGGACCGAAUCGUGGAAUUCAAGGAUUACAAAUGCAGCAGGUCACAGACUUUUAAAGGAACAAUAUUUAAUUAUUUCAUGGGAUUGCUUCCCAGAAAAGGAAUGAUCUGGCACAGUAAAGAAAAAGUGACAUUGCAGUUGAACUUUAACUCUUAAAAAAAUUCAUACUUAGUUCAUAUUCACAGUGUGAAUUCUACAUAUACAAAUGAGCAGUGGUGAAAAAAGCUCUUGUGAAAUAAUUAUUAGUAAAGUCUAAAUAAACCAGUAGCUGGGAAGCAAACUUCAUGAAAAAUAAAUGACCUCCAAGGAUUAGUCUCAAGCUAACCAAGUCUGAUUACAGAGCUGAGCCUUUGGGAUUAAUAAGGCUUUCAAAUUAUGGCAGAUAAAGAAAUUGGUGUAGUUGCUGCACCCUGGAAGUGCCAAGGGGACAGAUGCAUCUGGAUUUUUUUAGAUAGGUCCAUGUUAGUCACAAAAUAGGCUUUACACAGACCUUUGGAGGUUAAAAUAGUAUGCAGAUAGGACAAAUCCUAGACUUGGAUGAUAAUAAAUUUAGAAAUGUGAAUUUUUGAGGAUGAGAUUUGAAUUAAUGGUAUGUGAC
Cercocebus atys (sooty mangabey) is the source of this 2720-nucleotide long non-coding RNA. RefSeq lists it as uncharacterized. NCBI's taxonomy places the organism in Eukaryota, Metazoa, Chordata, Mammalia, Primates, Cercopithecidae. The record is from RefSeq and is a predicted model, not a curated record. The transcript has 3 exons.